Molecule: ribosomal RNA, 253 nt
Filed under: uncultured bacterium
Lineage: Bacteria
Description: partial 16S ribosomal RNA
Rfam family: Bacterial small subunit ribosomal RNA
Source: RNAcentral
UACGAAGGGUGCAAGCGUUUUUCGGACUCACUGGGCUUAAAGCGUGUGCAGGCGGCCUAUAAAGUCAGGUGUGAAAUCCCGGGGCUUAACCUGGGAAUUGCUCUUGAAACUCCUAUGCUAGAAUACGGGAGAGGUUGGGAGAAUUCCUAGUGUAGAGGUGGAAUUCGUAGAGAUUAGGAGGAAUACCAGUGGCGUAGGCGCCCAACUGGACCGUUAUUGACGCUCAGAUGCGAAAGCGUGGGUAGCAAACAGG